RNAcentral lists this ribosomal RNA (117 nucleotides) under Danio rerio (zebrafish). The record is from RNAcentral. Lineage: Eukaryota; Metazoa; Chordata; Actinopteri; Cypriniformes; Danionidae.
ACCUACAGCCAUAUCACCCUGCAGCUCAAGACCAGUUACUCACUGAAGCCAAGCAGGGCUAAGUCUGGUCAGUACAUGGAUAGGGGUCCACAUGGUAAAACUAGGUUGCUGUUGGAA